UACGUAGGGACCAAGCGUUGUUCGGAUUUACUGGGCGUAAAGCGCGCGUAGGCGGCUUUGUAAGUUAGAGGUGAAAGCCCGGGGCUCAACUCCGGAACUGCCUUUAAGACUGCAUCGCUUGAAUCCGGGAGAGGUGAGUGGAAUUCCGAGUGUAGAGGUGAAAUUCGUAGAUAUUCGGAAGAGCACCAGUGGCGAAGGCGGCUCACUGGACCGGUAUUGACGCUGAGGUGCGAAAGCGUGGGGAGCAAACAGG
This 253-nucleotide ribosomal RNA is filed under the name uncultured bacterium. RNAcentral describes it as "partial 16S ribosomal RNA". It matches the Rfam family "Bacterial small subunit ribosomal RNA", at positions 524 to 776 of the family's 1533-position model. The record is from RNAcentral.